Long non-coding RNA from Coregonus clupeaformis (lake whitefish), 953 nucleotides. RefSeq lists it as uncharacterized. Lineage: Eukaryota; Metazoa; Chordata; Actinopteri; Salmoniformes; Salmonidae. The record is from RefSeq and is a predicted model, not a curated record. The transcript is spliced from 3 exons.
AGAAUAUGGCAGUAACGUAACAAAAUGUGGAAAAUGUCAAGGGGUCUGAAUACUUUCCGAAGGUAUGGUUUCUAGAACCAUACAGAAGUUGAGAAUCAAUUCACGUUCAGAUGUAGUAUUUGGCUGUUUUUGCUUCCAGAGACAUUUUGCCUUUUAAACAGAACAUGUAAGGUUCUUGGGCUUUAAGGAGUGACGUUAGACUACUUCAGACCAUUAUUGGGCUAGGGUAUAGGUCCUUGGGUAGGGAACAAAUUAAAUUUAAAAAACUAAAUCCGUUCUGCAGUAAAAAUCCAAUAAAUUCAAUAAUGUUGAAAAUGUGAAUGUGUGGAGACUAAAAGUAAUUUUUUUCCAUUUCAACUUGUUGUAGAAUAAAUAGGGAAUUAUUUAAGAAAAGUGCAAGGGUGCAUAUGAACGUGUCCUGAUACUGUAGAACGCUGGCUAAUGAGUCUAUCUGAGAAAAAGUCCAAUCGUAGUGACGGAGAGCAACCUUGGGUUAAAACAGGUCCAUAUAAAGCAAUAGUUGCCAUCUGCCAAUGAGGGGCCAUGUACACGCAAAUAGAAGCAGGAAGAGAGUUUAAGACGGUGAUGUAUGAACAUUAGGAAGUAGUCAUUUUAUUUGGUUUCUUGAUCCUUGACACACACACACACACAUAAAUAUUUGUGCAUAGAUACACCGUCACACACCCAGACUCAAACCCUCACAUGGCUCUUCAUCUCUCCGUCUUCCGCCUCCUCAUCAUCAUCAUCUCAGUAAUGUCAAUGCCAACCACCGAAGACUCAACAUACUUAACAUCAGAGUACAGCAUGUAUACAUCUGAAGACGUCGUUAGAUUACUCUACAGAUUGGAGCGAGCACUCUUCUAUCUGGUGAAAACCGUUAAUACAGUGCUCUUCCUCCUGUGCACCAUCAUUGCUGAAAUGAAUUUCAGGUUUAACCGACUCCAAAAUAUAAA